CACGUAGGGGACGAGCGUUGUCCGGAUUCAUUGGGCGUAAAGGGCGCGUAGGCGGCUUUGCAAGUGACGGGUGAAAGCCCUCGGCUUAACCGAGGAACUGCCUGUCAGACUGUAAGGCUUGAGACCGGGAGAGGUGAGUGGAAUUCCCAGUGUAGCGGUGAAAUGCGUAGAUAUUGGGAGGAACACCAGUGGCGAAGGCGGCUCACUGGACCGGAACUGACGCUGAGGCGCGAAAGCGUGGGGAGCAAACAGG
This 253-nucleotide ribosomal RNA is filed under the name uncultured bacterium. RNAcentral's name for it is "partial 16S ribosomal RNA". It matches the Rfam family "Bacterial small subunit ribosomal RNA", at positions 524 to 776 of the family's 1533-position model. The record is from RNAcentral.